Molecule: ribosomal RNA, 322 nt
Filed under: uncultured eukaryote
Lineage: Eukaryota
Description: partial 18S ribosomal RNA
Rfam family: Eukaryotic small subunit ribosomal RNA
Source: RNAcentral
CCCUUAGAUGUUCUGGGCAGCACGCGCGCUACACUGACAUGUUCAACAAGUUUCUCCUAGUUCGACAGGACUGGGAAAUCUUUGAACGCAUGUCGUGAUAGGGAUAGAUCAUUGCAAUUAUUGAUCUUGAACGAGGAAUUCCUAGUAAACGCGAGUCAUCAGCUCGCAUUGAUUACGUCCCUGCCCUUUGUACACACCGCCCGUCGCACCUACCGAUUGAAUGUUUCGGUGAAGAUUCCGGAUAGGACUGAUUUGAUUUAUUUCAUUUCUGACCUAAAAGCUAUCUAAACCUCAACAUUUAGAGGAAGGUGAAGUCGUAACA